AUGGCCUCGGGUGCGAGGCGCGUGUGCAGGGGAGGCGAGGCAUGGGAGCAGGUGGCGAGACAGCGCAAGCCGCGGCCAACCGACGGGCGGGCGCGGGUAGUGCGGGGCCGUCCUGCGGGCGCGCGGGGAGGGGAGCGGCGGAGCUGCAGGGGGCCCGAGCGGGGUUGGAGCAGCGGGGCAGGAGGCGAUCGGGCGCGAUGCACGCGCGCCCGGACGGCGGCGGAGCUCUUCCCGCCGGAGACCCGCUUGGAGACGCUCGCGCAGUGGGUGUGCGUCGGCGUCACUGUGGUGCUCCCGGCCGCGCUCGGCGCGCUUGUGCGUCUCUGGCUCGCCCGGUGCUGCUGUUGCGGCCGCGGCGGCGGCAGGCGAACGAUGGUGGCCCCCGGCCGCAGCGGCGCGUGCAUGCCGCGCGGCGCAUUCGAGGGUGAUCCCCGGACAUACUUCCGCGACCUCCGUGCAAAGAAGCCCCUGCUCCCAUGGCGGAUGGGAUCGCACUGGAGUAGAGGGAGAGAGAGGGGAUUGAGAAUUAGGGAGAGAGAGGGAUUAACUCGAGACACACGUCUUCACAGAGCCACCCACGUGCGUCUGGAAGCAUCGCUCGGGCCUGGAUCUCUGAAAACUGAUGAUUCGGCCGUUCCCAACGGGCCAGGGCCAAGGAUGCUUUAA
RNAcentral lists this ribosomal RNA (666 nucleotides) under Triticum aestivum (bread wheat). Its description in RNAcentral is "partial small subunit ribosomal RNA". The record is from RNAcentral. Lineage: Eukaryota; Viridiplantae; Streptophyta; Magnoliopsida; Poales; Poaceae.